GGUCUCUUAGUCUAGAGGUUAGGACACCAGGUUUUCAUCCUGGCAACACGGGUUCAAGUCCCGUAGAGAUCACCA
RNAcentral lists this transfer RNA (75 nucleotides) under Bacilli bacterium. Its description in RNAcentral is "tRNA-Glu". It matches the Rfam family "tRNA". From Rfam's summary of the family: Transfer RNA (tRNA) molecules are approximately 80 nucleotides in length. Their secondary structure includes four short double-helical elements and three loops (D, anti-codon, and T loops). Lineage: Bacteria; Bacillati; Bacillota; Bacilli. The record is from RNAcentral.